GAUGAACGCUGGCGGCGUGCCUAAUACAUGCAAGUCGAGCGAACAGACGAGGAGCUUGCUCCUCUGACGUUAGCGGCGGACGGGUGAGUAACACGUGGAUAACCUACCUAUAAGACGGGGAUAACUUCGGGAAACCGGAUCUAAUACCGGAUAAUAUAUUGAACCGCAUGGUUCAAUAGUGAAAUACGGUUUUGCUGUUACUUAUAGAUGGAUCCGCGUCGAAUUAGCUAGUUGGUAAGGUAACGGAUUACCAAGGCAACGAUGCGUAGCCGACCUGAGAGGGUGAUCGCCCACACUGGAACUGAGACACGGCCCAGACUCCUACGGGAGGCAGCAGUAGGGAAUCUUCGGCAAUGGGCGAAAGCCUGACGGAGCAACGCGGCGUGAGUGAUGAAGGUCUUCGGAUCGUAAACCUCUGUUAUUAGGGAAGAACAAAUGUGUAAGUAACUAUGCACGUCUUGACGGUACCUAAUCAGAAAGCCACGGCUAACUACGUG
RNAcentral lists this ribosomal RNA (497 nucleotides) under uncultured bacterium. RNAcentral describes it as "partial 16S ribosomal RNA". It matches the Rfam family "Bacterial small subunit ribosomal RNA", at positions 28 to 507 of the family's 1533-position model. The record is from RNAcentral.